CUUUCAACAACGGAUCUCUUGGUUCUCCCAUCGAUGAAGAACGCAGCGAAAUGCGAUAAGUAAUGUGAAUUGCAGAAUCCAGUGAAUCAUCGAAUCUUUGAACGCACCUUGCGCCCUUUGGCAUUCCAAAGGGCAUGCCUGUUUGAGUGUCA
Molecule: ribosomal RNA, 152 nt
Filed under: Lichenomphalia oreades
Lineage: Eukaryota; Fungi; Basidiomycota; Agaricomycetes; Agaricales; Hygrophoraceae
Description: 5.8S ribosomal RNA
Rfam family: 5.8S ribosomal RNA
About the family: 5.8S ribosomal RNA (5.8S rRNA) is a component of the large subunit of the eukaryotic ribosome.
Source: RNAcentral